RNAcentral lists this ribosomal RNA (301 nucleotides) under uncultured bacterium. RNAcentral's name for it is "partial 16S ribosomal RNA". It matches the Rfam family "Bacterial small subunit ribosomal RNA", at positions 509 to 807 of the family's 1533-position model. The record is from RNAcentral.
CAGCAGCCGCGGUAACACGUAGGGUGCAAGCGUUAAUCGGAAUUACUGGGCGUAAAGCGUGCGCAGGCGGUUUGUUGAGACAGAUGUGAAAUCCCCGGGCUCAACCUGGGAACUGCAUUUGUGACUGGCAGGCUAGAGUAUGGCAGAGGGGGGUGGAAUUCCGCGUGUAGCAGUGAAAUGCGUAGAUAUGCGGAGGAACACCGAUGGCGAAGGCAGCCCCCUGGGCCAAUACUGACGCUCAUGCACGAAAGCGUAGGGAGCAAACAGGAUUAGAUACCCCCGUAGUCCCUGUCUCUUAUAC